UGGUUCAAUCGUUGCUGAAUG
Non-coding RNA from Caenorhabditis elegans, 21 nucleotides. NCBI's taxonomy places the organism in Eukaryota, Metazoa, Nematoda, Chromadorea, Rhabditida, Rhabditidae. The record is from Ensembl.